This 440-nucleotide ribosomal RNA is filed under the name uncultured bacterium. RNAcentral describes it as "partial 16S ribosomal RNA". It matches the Rfam family "Bacterial small subunit ribosomal RNA", at positions 338 to 795 of the family's 1533-position model. The record is from RNAcentral.
CCUACGGGUGGCAGCAGUGGGGAAUAUUGCACAAUGGGGGAAACCCUGAUGCAGCGACGCCGCGUGAGUGAAGAAGUAUUUCGGUAUGUAAAGCUCUAUCAGCAGGGAAGAAAAUGACGGUACCUGACUAAGAAGCCACGGCUAACUACGUGCCAGCAGCCGAGGUAAUACGUAGGGGGCAAGCGUUAUCCGGAUUUACUGGGUGUAAAGGGAGCGUAGACGGCAAGGCAAGUCAGAAGUGAAAGCCCAGGGCUUAACUAUGGGACUGCUUUUGAAACUGGCCAGCUGGAGUGCAGGAGAGGUAAGGGGAAUUCCUAGUGUAGCGGUGAAAUGCGUAGAUAUCAGGAGGAACACCGGUGGCGAAGGCGGCUUACUGGACUGAAACUGACGUUGAGGCACGAAAGCGUGGGUAGCGAACAGGAUUAGAUACCCCUGUAGUC